RNAcentral lists this ribosomal RNA (427 nucleotides) under uncultured bacterium. Its description in RNAcentral is "partial 16S ribosomal RNA". It matches the Rfam family "Bacterial small subunit ribosomal RNA", at positions 355 to 774 of the family's 1533-position model. The record is from RNAcentral.
UGGGGAAUAUUGGACAAUGGGCGAAAGCCUGAUCCAGCCAUGCCGCGUGUGUGAAGCAGGUCUUCGGAUUGUAAAGCACUUUAAGUUGGGAGGAAGGGCAUUAACCUAAUACGUUAGUGUUUUGACGUUACCGACAGAAUAAGCACCGGCUAACUCUGUGCCAGCAGCCGCGGUACUACAGAGGGUGCAAGCGUUAAUCGGAAUUACUGGGCGUAAAGCGCGCGUAGGUGGUUUGUUAAGUUGGAUGUGAAAUCCCCGGGCUCAACCUGGGAACUGCAUUCAAAACUGACUGACUAGAGUAUGGUAGAGGGUGGUGGAAUUUCCUGUGUAGCGGUGAAAUGCGUAGAUAUAGGAAGGAACACCAGUGGCGAAGGCGACCACCUGGACUAAUACUGACACUGAGGUGCGAAAGCGUGGGGAGCAAACA